RNAcentral lists this microRNA precursor (72 nucleotides) under Medicago truncatula (barrel medic). Its description in RNAcentral is "MIR5272 microRNA precursor family". It matches the Rfam family "MIR5272 microRNA precursor family". The record is from Rfam by way of RNAcentral. Lineage: Eukaryota; Viridiplantae; Streptophyta; Magnoliopsida; Fabales; Fabaceae.
UUUGAUGUGAAUUGAUUUAUGUUUGGAUACACUUUUUUACAAGUGAUUUUAUGAGUUGAUGUUGUUUGAUAG